UUGUGGUCCUCCCCUCGACGGGCCGCCCGCUUUGUGGUCCUCCCCUCGACGGGCCGCCCGCUUUGUGGUCCUCCCCUCGAUGGGCCGCCCGCUUUGAGGUCCUCCCCUCGAGGGGCCGCCCGCUUUGUGGUCCUCCCCUGGACGGGCCGCCCGCUUUGUGGUCCUCCCCUGGACGGGCCGCCCGCUUUGAGGUCCUCCCCUGGACGGGCCGCCCGCUUUGAGGUCCUCCCCUGGACGGGCCGCCCGCUUUGAGGUCCUCCCCUGGACGGGCCGCCCGCUUUGAGGUCCUCCCCUGGACGGGCCGCCCGCUUUGAGGUCCUCCCCUCGACGGGCCGCCCGCUUUGAGGUCCUCCCCUCGACGGGCCGCCCGCUUUGAGGUCCUCCCCUCGACGGGCCGCCCGCUUUGAGGUCCUCCCCUGGACGGGCCGCCCGCUUUGAGGUCCUCCCCUGGACGGGCCGCCCGCUUUGAGGUCCUCCCCUGGACGGGCCGCCCGCUUUGAGGUCCUCCCCUCGACGGGCCGCCCGCUUUGAGGUCCUCCCCUGGACGGGCCGCCCGCUUUGAGGUCCUCCCCUCGACGGGCCGCUCUUCCUGGCAUCAGACAGGAAACACUGCAGCUGUGGUGGAGGAAGAACAGCCUAAGCUGCCUAGGCCUUGGGGGUGACCCCCUGCAACCCCCAGAGGCAACACGGAUGUCCUCCCCUGCCCCUGCAACACUCACAAUGGGCCAGCUUUUCGCAAGGAAAUUAUGGAGGACGGGCGCAGGCCCUCGUUGCACACUGUCAUUAUUCUCAUCGCAUGGCUCUUGAGCUUUUCUUGAGGCCAGACCAAAAAAAAAAAAAGUGUUGUUGCAGAGUAAAGUGUGAAGACGUGAGGAAUUUGGAGUCACGCCACUUAUACGGAAACGCUUUGCCUCUGAGGGCCUGUCCUUUACUCCCGGCUGGUUAAAAACAACACAGAGCUGCACCA
Brienomyrus brachyistius is the source of this 967-nucleotide long non-coding RNA. RefSeq lists it as uncharacterized. The record is from RefSeq and is a predicted model, not a curated record. The transcript is spliced from 5 exons. NCBI's taxonomy places the organism in Eukaryota, Metazoa, Chordata, Actinopteri, Osteoglossiformes, Mormyridae.